AUUGAACGCUGGCGGCAUGCCUUACACAUGCAAGUCGAACGGCAGCACGGGAGCAAUCCUGGUGGCGAGUGGCGAACGGGUGAGUAGUACAUCGGAACGUGCCUAGUAGUGGGGGAUAGCCCGGCGAAAGCCGGAUUAAUACCGCAUACGACCUGAGGGUGAAAGCGGGGGAUCGAAAGACCUCGCGCUAUUGGAGCGGCCGAUGCCAGAUUAGGUAGUUGGUGGGGUAAAGGCCUACCAAGCCGACGAUCUGUAGCUGGUCUGAGAGGACGACCAGCCACACUGGGACUGAGACACGGCCCAGACUCCUACGGGAGGCAGCAGUGGGGAAUUUUGGACAAUGGGCGAAAGCCUGAUCCAGCCAUGCCGCGUGCAGGAAGAAGGCCUUCGGGUUGUAAACUGCUUUUGUCAGGGAAGAAAAGUUCUGGGUUAAUACCCUGGGGCGAUGACGGUACCUGAAGAAUAAGCACCGGCUAACUACGUGCCAGCAGCCGCCGUAA
This 500-nucleotide ribosomal RNA is filed under the name uncultured bacterium. RNAcentral describes it as "partial 16S ribosomal RNA". It matches the Rfam family "Bacterial small subunit ribosomal RNA", at positions 29 to 523 of the family's 1533-position model. The record is from RNAcentral.